This 663-nucleotide ribosomal RNA is filed under the name Hepatozoon canis. Its description in RNAcentral is "bacterial SSU rRNA". It matches the Rfam family "Eukaryotic small subunit ribosomal RNA", at positions 169 to 831 of the family's 1831-position model. The record is from RNAcentral. Lineage: Eukaryota; Apicomplexa; Hepatozoidae.
UACAUGAGCAAAAUCUCAACUUUAUUAGAAGAGACGCAUUUAUUAGAUAAAAGCCAAUGCAUGCUUUUACAGUAUGAAAAUUGGUGAUUUAUAAUAACUUAGCAAAUCGCAAAGUGAAAACAGGCGAUAAAUCAUUCAAGUUUCUGACCUAUCAGCUUUCGACGGUAUGGUAUUGGCUUACCGUGGCAGUGACGGUUAACGGGGGAUUAGGGUUCGAUUCCGGAGAGGGAGCCUGAGAAACGGCUACCACAUCUAAGGAAGGCAGCAGGCGCGCAAAUUACCCAAUUCUAACAGUUUGAGAGAGGUAGUAACAAGAAAUAACAAUACAAGGCAGUUAAAAUGCUUUGUAAUUGGAAUGAUAGAAAUUUAAACCCUUUUUAAAGUAUCAAUUGGAGGGCAAGUCUGGUGCCAGCAGCCGCGGUAAUUCCAGCUCCAAUAGCGUAUAUUAAAAUUGUUGCAGUUAAAAAGCUCGUAGUUGAAGUUCUGCUAAAAGUAACCGGUCUGCUUUUAAUAAAAGUGGUAUCUUGGURUGUAUUUAGCAAUGAUGUCCUUUGAAGUGUUUUUUACUUUAUUGUAAUAAAGCAUAUUCAGGACUUUUACUUUGAGAAAAUUAGAGUGUUUCUAGCAGGCCAACGCUUUGAAUACUGCAGCAUGAAAUAAUAA